This 465-nucleotide ribosomal RNA is filed under the name Vreelandella stevensii. Its description in RNAcentral is "partial 16S ribosomal RNA". It matches the Rfam family "Bacterial small subunit ribosomal RNA", at positions 338 to 795 of the family's 1533-position model. Lineage: Bacteria; Pseudomonadati; Pseudomonadota; Gammaproteobacteria; Oceanospirillales; Halomonadaceae. The record is from RNAcentral.
UCUACGGGAGGCAGCAGUGGGGAAUAUUGGACAAUGGGCGAAAGCCUGAUCCAGCCAUGCCGCGUGUGUGAAGAAGGCCUUCGGGUUGUAAAGCACUUUCAGUGGGGAAGAAAGCCUUGGGGCUAAUACCCUCGAGGAAGGACAUCACCCACAGAAGAAGCACCGGCUAACUCCGUGCCAGCAGCCGCGGUAAUACGGAGGGUGCGAGCGUUAAUCGGAAUUACUGGGCGUAAAGCGCGCGUAGGCGGUCUGAUAAGCCGGUUGUGAAAGCCCCGGGCUCAACCUGGGAACGGCAUCCGGAACUGUCAGGCUAGAGUGCAGGAGAGGAAGGUAGAAUUCCCGGUGUAGCGGUGAAAUGCGUAGAGAUCGGGAGGAAUACCAGUGGCGAAGGCGGCCUUCUGGACUGACACUGACGCUGAGGUGCGAAAGCGUGGGUAGCAAACAGGAUUAGAUACCCCUGUAGUC